ACCAGGUACUUUAUAUACGUGCCUCUCUAUUUGUUCAACAUGUUUAUAUUUAGUUGGAAUAUGUUUUUGUUUCUUUCGAUUAUGCCAUGAAGUAUAAACUGAUAUUAUACUGAAGACCACUUAUUGUUCUUGCAGUGAGGUUGGCCAAGUUUAUACCACGCAAGCAGUGGGUUGUUGCUGGUGCAUAUGAUAUGUAUAUUGGUGUAUACAAUUACAAUACCAUGGAUAAGGUCAAAGUCUUUGAGGCACACACAGACUGUAUUAGGUGCCUUGCUGUUCAUCCAGCCCUUCCCCUUCCUUAUUAUAAAGCUCCGGGACUGGGAGAAGGGAUGGAUGUGCACUCAAAUUUUUGAGGGUCAUUCUCAUUAUGUCAUGCAAGUUACGUUUAAUUCUAAGGAUCCCAAUACUUUUGCAAGUGCAUCCCUUGAUCGUACCAUCAAGAUAUGGAAUCUUAGGUCUCCUGGUCCGAACUUUGCAUUGGACGCCCAUCUGAAAGGAGUGAAUUGUGUAGAUUACUUCACUGGUGGAGAUAAACCAUGUCUCAUCACUGGUCCUGAAGAUCACACUGCUAAAACAUCUUUUUGAUUGUAAUCCCUGCGAUUGUGUGUCUGAAUUGUAUGAAACAGGUGUGGGAUUACCAACCUAAUUAAGAGUUGUGUUCAGACUCUAGAAGGUCAUACACACAAUGUGUUUGCUGUUUGUUUUCAACCUGAACUUCCAAUAAUAAUAACAGGUUCAGAGGA
This is a long non-coding RNA of Daucus carota subsp. sativus, 743 nucleotides long. RefSeq lists it as uncharacterized. The record is from RefSeq and is a predicted model, not a curated record. The transcript is spliced from 2 exons. Lineage: Eukaryota; Viridiplantae; Streptophyta; Magnoliopsida; Apiales; Apiaceae.